RNAcentral lists this ribosomal RNA (389 nucleotides) under uncultured bacterium. Its description in RNAcentral is "bacterial SSU rRNA". It matches the Rfam family "Bacterial small subunit ribosomal RNA", at positions 30 to 417 of the family's 1533-position model. The record is from RNAcentral.
AUUGAACGCUGGCGGCAUGCUUUACACAUGCAAGUCGAACGGCAGCACGGGUGCUUGCACCUGGUGGCGAGUGGCGAACGGGUGAGUAAUGCAUCGGAACGUGCCCAUGAGUGGGGGAUAGCCCGGCGAAAGCCGGAUUAAUACCGCAUACGCCCUUAGGGGGAAAGCGGGGGAUUUUCGGACCUCGCGCUAUUGGAGCGGCCGAUGUCGGAUUAGCUAGUAGGUGAGGUAAAGGCUCACCUAGGCGACGAUCCGUAGCUGGUCUGAGAGGAUGAUCAGCCACACUGGGACUGAGACACGGCCCAGACUCCUACGGGAGGCAGCAGUGGGGAAUUUUGGACAAUGGGCGCAAGCCUGAUCCAGCCAUGCCGCGUGAGUGAAGAAGGCCU